This 361-nucleotide unclassified non-coding RNA is filed under the name uncultured bacterium. Its description in RNAcentral is "contains 16S-23S intergenic spacer region". The record is from RNAcentral.
UCUCCCGUGAGGGAGCAGUCUCGCCAGACACUUGUAACUGGCAACGGGGGUUGCGUUCGUUUCACCACUGAAGGUUACAACUCAUGCCACGAACUGACGACGGCCAUGCAUCACCUGCCAUACAGUCCGAAGAGGGCUCUUCUUUCAAAAAGCUUUCAGUAUGGUUUCUAACCCUGGUAAGGUUCUUCGUUUGACAUCGAAUUAAGCCACAUCAUCCACCGCUUGUGCAAGCCCCCGUCUAUUCCUUUGAGUUUUAAUCUUGCGAUCGUACUACCCAGGCGCCGAACUUAACGCGUUAGCUUCGCCUCUCAGAGGGUCGAUACUCCAAAAAGCCAGUUCGGAACGUUUAAGGCGUGGACUA